GAGGCGGGCAGGAACCGUGUGCGCUCCGACCUCACCGCCUGGAGCUCAAAUUUUUCAGAGUUACUGAAGUACAGAGGGGUAUCAGUGAAUUGCCAGUCAUCCAAAUACACGUGGCAAGCUGUGCUCUAUCAAGCCAUCACAUUGAUAGUGAAUGUCUGCACACUGUGAUACUACGUGCAGAAAGCAAAGCCAUUGGAACCAGUUUUGAGCAAGGAAUAACCCCUCCUGGGAAAAGAACUUCUCUCCCUUUCCAUCUCUGCAAACCUCUUAGGGGAGAUCUGAGGUACUAACGGAGCGCCAAACCCACUCUAACAGAGACUUCACAGACCAAGAAGGAGCUGGGCUCUAAGAUAACCCAGCUGACCUGGGAAGUCAGAUACAAGCACAUCUUUCUAAAUGCGUAACACCUUCAGAACUAGAUUAUGAGGAAAAAGAAAACAGGAGAAAAGCAACGUGAGAAGGAAACUACAACUUUGUGCUGUGUAUUG
Molecule: long non-coding RNA, 488 nt
Organism: Tyto alba (common barn owl)
Lineage: Eukaryota; Metazoa; Chordata; Aves; Strigiformes; Tytonidae
Exons: 3
Source: RefSeq, a predicted model, not a curated record